Molecule: ribosomal RNA, 253 nt
Filed under: uncultured bacterium
Lineage: Bacteria
Description: partial 16S ribosomal RNA
Rfam family: Bacterial small subunit ribosomal RNA
Source: RNAcentral
UACGUAGGCAGCGAGCGUUGGUCGGAGUUACUGGGCGUAAAGCGUGCGUAGGCGGUCUUGUAAGUGUGGUGUGAAAUCUCCCGGCUCAACUGGGAGGGUGCGCCGAAAACUGCAAGGCUGGAGUAUGGGAGAGGUAGGCGGAAUUCCUGGUGUAGCGGUGAAAUGCGUAGAUAUCAGGAGGAACGCCUGUGGUGUAGACGGCUUACUGGACCAUGACUGACGCUGAGGCACGAAAGCGUGGGGAGCAAACAGG